RNAcentral lists this transfer RNA (74 nucleotides) under Rubrobacteraceae bacterium. RNAcentral describes it as "tRNA-Ile". It matches the Rfam family "tRNA". Rfam says of the family: Transfer RNA (tRNA) molecules are approximately 80 nucleotides in length. Their secondary structure includes four short double-helical elements and three loops (D, anti-codon, and T loops). RNAcentral also lists the same sequence under 2 other names. The record is from RNAcentral. Lineage: Bacteria; Bacillati; Actinomycetota; Rubrobacteria; Rubrobacterales; Rubrobacteraceae.
GGGCCUGUAGCUCAGUCGGUUAGAGCGCUUCUCUGAUAAGGAAGAGGUCCCUGGUUCGAGUCCAGGCAGGCCCA